GGGGAUGUGACUCAAGCGGUAGCGUGCUCACCUGACAUGUGCGGGGUGCUGGGUUCAAUCCUCAGCACCACA
RNAcentral lists this transfer RNA (72 nucleotides) under Marmota monax (woodchuck). RNAcentral describes it as "tRNA.Val". Lineage: Eukaryota; Metazoa; Chordata; Mammalia; Rodentia; Sciuridae. The record is from RNAcentral.